AGGAUUUUUUGGCUGUGCCAACUGCAAGGACUUUUGAGAUUGCAUUUACAUUGAAUGCACAUGCUCGUUGGUGCUAUAUCAAUAAGUGCUUCAACAAUAUCUACAGUUCACAGGCAAACUUGUCUAGAGUUGACGUUAUAGCAGAUGUCAUGGUUAAAAGAGAGUUAGAAUCAAAGCUAGAAGAUGUUCAUAUCAUAUAGUUAAAAA
Eurytemora carolleeae is the source of this 207-nucleotide long non-coding RNA. RefSeq lists it as uncharacterized. The transcript is spliced from 3 exons. Lineage: Eukaryota; Metazoa; Arthropoda; Copepoda; Calanoida; Temoridae. The record is from RefSeq and is a predicted model, not a curated record.